GAAAGCGGAAGCGGAAGGAAGGGGGCGUGGCCUCCGAGGCUUCUUGGCUGAGUCGAGGGCCUGGGCAUUGUGCAUGAAGCCCACCACAUCGUCCAGACUCCAGCACAGGGCAUCUGCCAACAGAACCAGUGACUCAUCAAAGUACUCAGCCACCAUGACCAGGUCAAAGACUGAGUCCAACCAGGCCAGACCCCACUGGAUAAAGGAUGAGGGCCUAAAAUCUGAGGAGACAAGGCUGGCUGGCUGCUUGUAACUAUUAGCAGCUGUGGUAAUAGGAUGGAAGAGAGUUCCAGGGCUAGCACCGGAAGGAGAAGGCAGAGCGGGCUAGAGCCGCUGGAUCUCGGACAAUGGAAAAGAAGAAGCUAUCAGAAGGCAUGACCUGAAGUACCUGCAGAGGAAAGAAAGAGAGGAAGAGCUUGACUGAGGAGAAAAUGAGGCCAAGCUGAGGCUCUGAUGAGCCGUGAGGCUCUGCUGUCCACCCCCAGCUUCCCCUACUAGCUGUGUGACCUUGGGGAAAUUACAUAGCACCUCUGAAAUUCAAUUUGCUGUCUGCAAAAGGAAAGUAGUCAGAAGUUCCCAGGUAAUUGAGGAGAAUACUCAAAAUAACAGCCAGUCAGAAAUCUGGAGCACAAGGCUCACACUGCUUAGUCAUGUCCUCGGGAUUUUGUGUUCUUUGUUGGUUGGGAAAAACUCUCAAACCUGGGGCUGGGAAGGUGGCUCAGUCAAUAAAGUGUGUGCCACACAAACG
This 748-nucleotide long non-coding RNA is filed under the name Mus caroli (Ryukyu mouse). RNAcentral describes it as "lncRNA (MGP_CAROLIEiJ_G0003795.1)". The record is from RNAcentral. Lineage: Eukaryota; Metazoa; Chordata; Mammalia; Rodentia; Muridae.